This 475-nucleotide ribosomal RNA is filed under the name Klebsiella pneumoniae. Its description in RNAcentral is "bacterial SSU rRNA". It matches the Rfam family "Bacterial small subunit ribosomal RNA", at positions 30 to 494 of the family's 1533-position model. Lineage: Bacteria; Pseudomonadati; Pseudomonadota; Gammaproteobacteria; Enterobacterales; Enterobacteriaceae. The record is from RNAcentral.
AUUGAACGCUGGCGGCAGGCCUAACACAUGCAAGUCGAGCGGUAGCACAGAGAGCUUGCUCUCGGGUGACGAGCGGCGGACGGGUGAGUAAUGUCUGGGAAACUGCCUGAUGGAGGGGGAUAACUACUGGAAACGGUAGCUAAUACCGCAUAACGUCGCAAGACCAAAGUGGGGGACCUUCGGGCCUCAUACCAUCAGAUGUGCCCAGAUGGGAUUAGCUAGUAGGUGGGGUAACGGCUCACCUAGGCGACGAUCCCUAGCUGGUCUGAGAGGAUGACCAGCCACACUGGAACUGAGACACGGUCCAGACUCCUACGGGAGGCAGCAGUGGGGAAUAUUGCACAAUGGGCGCAAGCCUGAUGCAGCCAUGCCGCGUGUAUGAAGAAGGCCUUCGGGUUGUAAAGUACUUUCAGCGGGGAGGAAGGCGAUAAGGUUAAUAACCUUGUCGAUCGACGUUACCCGCAGAAGAAGCACC